AAACAAAAAAGAGGGAAAAAGAGAUGAGAUAUGUGGAGACUAGUCUAGGAAUUUUAAUCUCUUUGACCCCUUUUGGUUGAAUCAAUUUUUGAAAAACCCUCACUUAUUCUCACUACCCCCUCUCCUUCCUAACCUAUUUGAAAUACAAUUUUACCUUUCUCCUUUACUUUUUUUAAUUUUCUAUUUAAUUUUUGCUACCAAAUAAUUUAUUAAAAUCAACCAAUCAUAUGCAUUCUCUCUCUUAUCUCAUUAAUCACUUAAACCUACAAAAAACGCUGGACAACUGAAACCAAUAAGCACAACUAUGUUGAUGGACUUCUACGAAAACAUAUAAUUACAUAUCGUUUUUUGUUUCUCUUUGAUUUUCAAGUUAUAAUCAAAAAUACUUCAGUCAUACGCAUUGCUUAUAAUGGAUACUAUUAAUUUUUUUUGUUGUAUUUAUACAAAUUAAUAUGUUUUGUAUUGGUACAACUAAGUACAACCCGCACAACUAAGGUCUAUUCACUUGGCUAGUUUUCAGAAUAUUAUAAAA
This 532-nucleotide small RNA is filed under the name Arabidopsis thaliana (thale cress). Its description in RNAcentral is "ATSL119250". The record is from RNAcentral. Lineage: Eukaryota; Viridiplantae; Streptophyta; Magnoliopsida; Brassicales; Brassicaceae.